UUAAAAUCUCUCUUGUAGGGAACAUUCACCCUUUUCCCUCUAAUUUUGUUGAAUUUGGGGAAGUUCGAGCUACAUGUGAAGAUCAAAUUCAUUAUUGGAUAGUUAUAUUUAUUGAUAUAUGUAACUAAUGCCUUGUGGCAUAAUCUGACGGACGCUUAUUGUGCAGUACUGCAGUUUGAUACCGUUCCAUCAACUCAUGCGGCUUCUCAUUCGAGUGACAGAUCGAAGGAGACUGAUCAUAAGACUCUACGAAGGCUUGCUCAGAACCGUGAGGCAGCAAGGAAAAGCCGGUUGAGGAAAAAAGUCUAUACUCUGAGGAAUGCGCCUUAUGCGAGUGAGGAAAUUGAUGUGGUUCGUGAGCAAUGGGCUAAGAUUUUUACCAGCAAAUAUUUAUUAUUGGCC
Molecule: long non-coding RNA, 402 nt
Organism: Spinacia oleracea (spinach)
Lineage: Eukaryota; Viridiplantae; Streptophyta; Magnoliopsida; Caryophyllales; Amaranthaceae
Exons: 3
Source: RefSeq, a predicted model, not a curated record